AUGUGCAGACUGGUUAAAGCUUUACUGGACAAGAAGCACGACGAUGAGGGUUUCGAGUAUGAACUCAAAGAUAUUGUGCAUUGGCAAUCAAUCUGCGAAGGUCCCAAUGCAUGGUACUAUCAUCUCAAUAUCAGUAUGAAAACUAAAGGAGCUGAUGAUGAUGUGGGCAGUGUCAACCAAUUCUUCGCUGAAGUCACACUUGAUCAGAGCGAUACGCCAGGAUAUUUUCUCAGCAGUUUCUGCAGAAUUGACCCUAACAGCACGGAUGUUCACUGCCAUGGUUGUACGAACAAUGGAAGUAUUCAUCUGAAGCACCCCCCUACUCAUUUUGAUUGCGGGCACACUGAUCUCUCCCUUGGUUAUGAUGCAUGUAACGAUGAGGUGUGUCGCGAUGCCCAAAACAAGGAAGACGGCGAUGAAGAAGAAGAACUGAGAGAAGAGGAGGAAAGGAUAAGAGAGUCCUUUGAUUACCUUGACGAUGUGGAAUUUAUGGAGAAACUCCGCAAGAAACGUGCUGAGCUCUUAGCCUUACAUUCCAAAAACCAGGAGGAUGAAGAAAGGGCCUGUAAAGACUGA
Molecule: ribosomal RNA, 576 nt
Filed under: Triticum aestivum (bread wheat)
Lineage: Eukaryota; Viridiplantae; Streptophyta; Magnoliopsida; Poales; Poaceae
Description: partial small subunit ribosomal RNA
Source: RNAcentral